Molecule: small nuclear RNA, 197 nt
Filed under: Ipomoea nil (Japanese morning glory)
Lineage: Eukaryota; Viridiplantae; Streptophyta; Magnoliopsida; Solanales; Convolvulaceae
Description: U2 spliceosomal RNA
Rfam family: U2 spliceosomal RNA
About the family: U2 is a small nuclear RNA (snRNA) component of the spliceosome (involved in pre-mRNA splicing).
Source: Rfam by way of RNAcentral
AUACCUUUCUCGGCCUUUUGGCUAAGAUCAAGUGUAGUAUCUGUUCUUAUCAGUUUAAUAUCUGAUAUGUGAGCCAAUGGUUCACACGAUAUUAACUAAAUUUUUUUAGGGGAAAGGUCCAUUGAGGUAGCUUGCUGCCUGGCUCUUUGAGUGUCGCCUUGGUUUUUUCACUAUUGCCUUGGCCUGGCACACCCCUC